GGGAACUAAAGGUACUUUAUGUCUGCUUCUGACAUCAGUCUCUGCACUUUCCUGUGACAGAGCAAGUCUUUUCUAGGCAGGCUCUGUGGGGUAAUUGAAUUAAGAGAGCCUGUGAUCAGCUCUGCUUCUAUUUUUAAGUUCCAGAACUUACAGACAAGGAUUUCUUUUCUCAAAAAGUUCGAUAAAAAGGACGAGGGUUGAAGAAGUUUGAAGACCGACCUCUUCCUGCCUCCCCACAGCCCUUCAGUCUUCUUCUUACAUCAAGGUUAUGGCUAACAGACAGCUCUCAGGGAGGGACCUGCUCUGUGAAGACUUUCCUCCUUCUUUCUGUCAGAGGCAUCUUGAUAGGGAAGCUGAAGCAUGGGGGAAUAGCUUUUCUUUGUGGAACAACCCUGCUGUGUGCUUCUUUGUCCCUAUCCUUGCCUCUCCAUAGAAGACAGGCUGUGUGUGGACCACGUGCGUCUGUCGGACCACGGGAACUCUCCUGCUGUUUUAACUGUUUGUGGCUAAGAGUCCCUGAAAAAUCUUCAGCAGAAACAUGGAUGAAGUGCUCCUGGUGCAGUCUUUUACUCUCCUGUGUAGCUUUUUAUGAUAAAACAACUGUUUUAAGAAAGUAUUGGAAAGAGAGUUGGAAAAGGACUUUUCGGGAAAAGAGAAGGAAAUGAAAAAGUGGCAAGCAGAUAUUUUUAUUAUCUUUGAGGACAAGGAAAGAUUUAAAUAGAAGAUUUGCUAACAUCUUAUUUGAUGCAAAACUUGGUGUUUUUCUCAAUAUCUGGAACCCUGCUUUUCUGUUGGAAACCUUCCAGCUGAAGCAGCUCAUUUUGUGAUUUACAUCUCCUAUUUUAUCUCCACUUUGGCUGCCGGACAGAGCAUCCAUGGACACCCAUCCAUGGGUGCUUCAGCAUGAUUUCCAUCUCCUCAGCCAUCAGUGACUUAGAGUGACAGACGUCAGUCCAGCAGAGCUCAGUGGGGAUUACUGGGAGUGACUGAUCCCAGCCAUCCUUCUCCAGCAGGAUUGACACUGCCUUUAGUGCUCUCCCUGACAAAUUAUCAGUCACCUCCAGAUGACAGGGAUUGACUACCUCCUCAACCAUAGCAGAGCAAUGAGGCAAAGCUUUUAUUCCUACAUGUCACAUUUCCAUGGAUAAACGUAGGAAUGGAGCCUUGCAUGGUCACACUUGCCAAGUGUCUUUAGUAAUGGAUAUGGAUUUUAAACUGGAAUAGUGGUGGGUGACAACGUGGCUUGGGGGUAGAGGAAGGCUCUUGGGCUAUUUUCCCUGCUUAUUUAUUUCCAAUUAAAUAAAAAUCCCAUCUGU
This 1316-nucleotide long non-coding RNA is filed under the name Parus major (Great Tit). Its description in RNAcentral is "lncRNA (ENSPMJG00000019202.1)". Lineage: Eukaryota; Metazoa; Chordata; Aves; Passeriformes; Paridae. The record is from RNAcentral.